GACGAACGCUGGCGGCGUGCUUAACACAUGCAAGUCGAACGGAAAGGCCCUGCUUUUGUGGGGUGCUCGAGUGGCGAACGGGUGAGUAACACGUGAGUAACCUGCCCUUGACUUUGGGAUAACUUCAGGAAACUGGGGCUAAUACCGGAUAGGAGCUCCUGCUGCAUGGUGGGGGUUGGAAAGUUUCGGCGGUUGGGGAUGGACUCGCGGCUUAUCAGCUUGUUGGUGGGGUAGUGGCUUACCAAGGCUUUGACGGGUAGCCGGCCUGAGAGGGUGACCGGCCACAUUGGUACUGAGAUACGCCGCAGACGCCUACGGGCGGCAGUAGUCGGGAAUAUGGCAGAAUGGGCCGGAGCCUGAGAUAGCAACGCCGCGUGCGUGAUAAUGGCUUUCGGGUUGUAAACCGCUUUGUAAGGAGACGAAGCGUGAGUGACGGUAACGGGUAAAAAAGCACCGGCUAACUACGUG
Molecule: ribosomal RNA, 468 nt
Filed under: uncultured bacterium
Lineage: Bacteria
Description: partial 16S ribosomal RNA
Rfam family: Bacterial small subunit ribosomal RNA
Source: RNAcentral